GAUGAACGCUGGCGGCGUGCCUAAUACAUGCAAGUCGAGCGAACAGACGAGGAGCUUGCUCCUCUGACGUUAGCGGCGGACGGGUGAGUAACACGUGGAUAACCUACCUAUAAGACUGGGAUAACUUCGGGAAACCGGAGCUAAUACCGGAUAAUAUAUUGAACCGCAUGGUUCAAUAGUGAAAGACGGUUUUGCUGUCACUUAUAGAUGGAUCCGCGCCGCAUUAGCUAGUUGGUAAGGUAACGGCUUACCAAGGCAACGAUGCGUAGCCGACCUGAGAGGGUGAUCGGCCACACUGGAACUGAGACACGGUCCAGACUCCUACGGGAGGCAGCAGUAGGGAAUCUUCCGCAAUGGGCGAAAGCCGGACGGAGCAACGCCGCGUGAGGGAUGAAGGUCUUCGGAUCGUAAAACUCUGUUAUUAGGGAAGAACAAAUGUGUAAGUAACUAUGCACGUCUUGACGGUACCUAAUCAGAAAGCCACGGCUAACUACGUG
This 497-nucleotide ribosomal RNA is filed under the name uncultured bacterium. RNAcentral's name for it is "partial 16S ribosomal RNA". It matches the Rfam family "Bacterial small subunit ribosomal RNA", at positions 28 to 507 of the family's 1533-position model. The record is from RNAcentral.